This 992-nucleotide long non-coding RNA is filed under the name Chinchilla lanigera (long-tailed chinchilla). Its description in RNAcentral is "lncRNA (ENSCLAG00000025135.1)". The record is from RNAcentral. Lineage: Eukaryota; Metazoa; Chordata; Mammalia; Rodentia; Chinchillidae.
AGAAAAACUAGGUAAGCAAAACGCUAAAAGCUUUUUUUUUUUUAAACCAACAAAACAACAACAGUGAAUGAAUUGUGCAAGAUAUGAAAACAGAAAACAGGGAUGUUAUCAAAAUUGUAUAGUACUAAUCAGAAUGAAAAGUUAAGCUGAGGCAAUGAAAUUAUAGAUACCAGAUUUUUAUAUGCAUUAAAUUAUAUCUAUAUAAAUUAUAUAUAUUUACAUGUAUGUAAUUUAUGUCUGAUUUGUCAGAUGUGAACUACUGUAGGAAGGAGUCAUCAGUACUACUGGUCAAGCUGGGUGUUAAUGUGAAGAAUGAUAAAUAGACACAUAAACUAUAUGUUAUAAUAAACUCCAGACAAGUUAAAGACAUAUUGAUAGAAUUCAUGGAUGAAGAAUCCAAGGACAUAAAGGACUAGACUGUCUAUGAUUCUUCUGGGCAAUAAAAACCACUAUAACUCAAGUGAAAAGAAAAGCAACUAACAGAUAAAAGUAAUAACUGAGCUGAAACCCCGAUGCCACAGGCUUGGCAUAGUUCCAGUGAGGCCCGGAAGCGUGACACACCUGGGAUCCUUCCAAGAAGCAUGGGGUCUGUGCCUGAUAGUGUCUCUUUGCUGCUGGGGGCUGCUCAGGCUGACUGUCUUGGAGCUUGCAGCCCUCCUGUGUUGCCCAGCCUGUUCUUACUCUUGGACCAUCUUCCCUGCUGCUGUGACUAUGGAAACAAGCGACGCACACCAGCUGCCCUUCCAAAUUAUGAUUGUGCUAUGCUGGGAGGAGAAGGAGAGAGAAAUGACAAUUUUCUGGAGACUAGGAAAACUGACAUCACAGAGAUGAUGGGGGAGGGUGCUGCAAUGUGUCAGGCGCUGGCAUCUCACCCAGGGACAGGGAGAGAAAGGACAAUGGCCAGGCAAACAGGUAUGCAAAACUUUGUUUUGCUUCCCCAACCAGCAGCCAAUUCUGUCUCUUCAAGUACUAAUUUAUCAAGUAUUUCCUAA